CACAAUUAUGACUCAAGAUUCUUUCUUAAGACCAUUUCUAGCUCUACUUAGACCCACUAUGCACCUCUUUGAAAAUUUGUGUUUACACUUCUUUUUUGCAUAUUAGUAAAGAAAGCAAUGUAACAGACCACCCUUUAGGCAAAAAAUAUAUUAUAAUUGCCUACAAAAAAAGGAGCCAGUCAGAGCACCCAGAAGAACUGUGGCAGAUUCCCCCAGAUGCUCAUUAAAAGAUUUGACACACCAAUGAGUAAAACAUCUUUUUAUAAACACUGCCAAAGAAGCAUGUUUUGGUAUGCACAAACUAAUGUACACGUUGUGAAUUGUUCGUUUUUAGGCCAUUUAUCCAUCUAAAAAGAAAACAUUGUUUUUGGAUCCCCUGGGAGAGUCCCAAAAAAAAGUAAACAAGUGCCUGGAAACCACAAGAGCCUUUAUGAGGAAUAGAGGAUGCAAAGUUUCAAGGUGGACGUGUGACACUGUUCCUCACCCAAUGCAACGUGAUGGCACAUCUUGUGGUGUUUUUGUAUGCAAGUUUGCAGAACAAAUCCUGACAGAACAGCCUAUCAGCUUCUCAAAUGCAGAAAAGGCAGUUAACCUCUUUAGGAAAAAAAUUGCAGUGACCUUAAUACAGGAAUCAGAAGAUUUGAGUGAUCUUUGUCGAUUCUGUGGGGAAGACAUCAACCUAAGUGAUCCAGGGCUGACACCUGCAUGGAUUGCCUGUGAUGGAUGUGACAGAUGGUACCACCAGUCAUGUGUUGGCAACCCACCAGUAGAUGAAGAUUUUUACUGUCCUGCAUGCACUGAAGAUUAGACCAAGUAACUGCUUUAUCCUGGUCAUGGCCGUGGUGGAUUCAGAACUGUUCCUGGGGAAAUUGGACGUACGGCAGGAGUGCACUGUGGAUGGGAUGCUAGUCAUUCCCAGGGCACCAUCCACAAAUAAAUUUGCACAUUUCAGAUUUUAUUUAAUUUAGAUUUUAAAGAAUUAUUUUUAUUGAGUUAUAAAUAUGUUAUUUUUUCAAGUAUUUCAGUUUUACUUUGCAGUGAG
Trichomycterus rosablanca is the source of this 1042-nucleotide long non-coding RNA. RefSeq lists it as uncharacterized. The transcript is spliced from 6 exons. The record is from RefSeq and is a predicted model, not a curated record. NCBI's taxonomy places the organism in Eukaryota, Metazoa, Chordata, Actinopteri, Siluriformes, Trichomycteridae.